This 73-nucleotide transfer RNA is filed under the name Stegodyphus mimosarum. It matches the Rfam family "tRNA". Rfam says of the family: Transfer RNA (tRNA) molecules are approximately 80 nucleotides in length. Lineage: Eukaryota; Metazoa; Arthropoda; Arachnida; Araneae; Eresidae. The record is from Rfam by way of RNAcentral.
GCCUUCGUGGUGUAGCGAUCAGCACGCUCGACGCGUAUUCGAGAGGUGAGGGGUUCAAAUCCCGGCGAGGGCA